GAUCAUGGCUCAGGAUGAACGCUAGCUACAGGCUUAACACAUGCAAGUCGAGGGGCAGCAUGUGGUGCUGCAACCAAUGAUGGCGACCGGCGCACGGGUGAGUAACGCGUAUCCAACCUUCCCCUUAGUAGAGGAUAGCCCGGCGAAAGUCGGAUUAAUACUCUAUGUUCUUCAAUGCGGACAUCUAAGUUGAAGCAAAGAUUUAUCGCUAAGGGAUGGGGAUGCGUCUGAUUAGGUUGCAGGCGGGGUAACGGCCCACCUGGCCUACGAUCAGUAGGGGUUCUGAGAGGAAGGUCCCCCACACUGGUACUGAGACACGGACCAGACUCCUACGGGAGGCAGCAGUGAGGAAUAUUGGUCAAUGGGCGCGAGCCUGAACCAGCCAAGUAGCGUGCAGGACGACUGCCCUAUGGGUUGUAAACUGCUUUUAUGCGGGGAUAAAGUUCACUACGUGUAGUGUUUUGUAGGUACCGCAUGGAUAAGGACCGGCUAAUUCCGUGCCAGCCGCCGC
RNAcentral lists this ribosomal RNA (511 nucleotides) under uncultured bacterium. RNAcentral describes it as "bacterial SSU rRNA". It matches the Rfam family "Bacterial small subunit ribosomal RNA", at positions 15 to 518 of the family's 1533-position model. The record is from RNAcentral.